This 863-nucleotide ribosomal RNA is filed under the name uncultured bacterium. RNAcentral's name for it is "bacterial SSU rRNA". It matches the Rfam family "Bacterial small subunit ribosomal RNA", at positions 7 to 851 of the family's 1533-position model. The record is from RNAcentral.
GAGGGUUUGAUCCUGGCUCAGGAUGAACGCUGGCGGCGUGCCUAAUACAUGCAAGUCGAGCGAACGGACGAGAAGCUUGCUUCUCUGAUGUUAGCGGCGGACGGGUGAGUAACACGUGGAUAACCUACCUAUAAGACUGGGAUAACUUCGGGAAACCGGAGCUAAUACCGGAUAAUAUUUUGAACCGCAUGGUUCAAAAGUGAAAGACGGUCUUGCUGUCACUUAUAGAUGGAUCCGCGCUGCAUUAGCUAGUUGGUAAGGUAACGGCUUACCAAGGCAACGAUGCAUAGCCGACCUGAGAGGGUGAUCGGCCACACUGGAACUGAGACACGGUCCAGACUCCUACGGGAGGCAGCAGUAGGGAAUCUUCCGCAAUGGGCGAAAGCCUGACGGAGCAACGCCGCGUGAGUGAUGAAGGUCUUCGGAUCGUAAAACUCUGUUAUUAGGGAAGAACAUAUGUGUAAGUAACUGUGCACAUCUUGACGGUACCUAAUCAGAAAGCCACGGCUAACUACGUGCCAGCAGCCGCGGUAAUACGUAGGUGGCAAGCGUUAUCCGGAAUUAUUGGGCGUAAAGCGCGCGUAGGCGGUUUUUUAAGUCUGAUGUGAAAGCCCACGGCUCAACCGUGGAGGGUCAUUGGAAACUGGAAAACUUGAGUGCAGAAGAGGAAAGUGGAAUUCCAUGUGUAGCGGUGAAAUGCGCAGAGAUAUGGAGGAACACCAGUGGCGAAGGCGACUUUCUGGUCUGUAACUGACGCUGAUGUGCGAAAGCGUGGGGAUCAAACAGGAUUAGAUACCCUGGUAGUCCACGCCGUAAACGAUGAGUGCUAAGUGUUAGGGGGUUUCCGCCCCUUAGUGCUGCAG